AGAGACAGCAGCCGCCGCGGUAAUACGGAGGGUGCAAGCGUUAAUCGGAAUUACUGGGCGUAAAGCGCACGCAGGCGGUCUGACAAGUCAGAUGUGAAAUCCCCGGGCUUAACCUGGGAACUGCAUUUGAAACUGUCAGGCUGGAGUCUUGUAGAGGGGGGUAGAAUUCCAGGUGUAGCGGUGAAAUGCGUAGAGAUCUGGAGGAAUACCGGUGGCGAAGGCGGCCCCCUGGACGAAGACUGACGCUCAGGUGCGAAAGCGUGGGGAGCAAACAGGAUUAGAUACCCGGGUAGUCCCUGUCUCUUAUAC
This 309-nucleotide ribosomal RNA is filed under the name uncultured bacterium. RNAcentral's name for it is "partial 16S ribosomal RNA". It matches the Rfam family "Bacterial small subunit ribosomal RNA", at positions 504 to 807 of the family's 1533-position model. The record is from RNAcentral.